CGGCUGCAGCGUCUUCCCCGCGCUCCCGAGCCUAUCCCUCGGGCGCCGGCCUGGGCUGUCCAGCGAGAGGGGCGGAGGGGCAGGGCCCCGGGCUAGGUCCAGGCCCGCAGCUGGCAUCAGGGGGGGCCUGGGUGGGAAGACCGGUUGGGGUGGGGGUGCACAGACCCGGGGAAUCUGAGACGCAAGGUUUCCGGCUCUUGGCCGCUAGUGAGGAAGGCUCGAGGCCGAUCCUGGCCCAAAGCAGGGCGCCGGGCCAUUGUCAGUCCUGGGAAGGGGGAUUGGGAGGAGCCCCAGAGGGGCGGCCAUUCCCUGGGGCGGCGUGGAAGGGAGGCAGCACCUCCAGGCGACAAGUAGAGCUGGGCCCUGGCGGGCUGCCACGGGGGUGUCUGGCAGUCUCUCCUGGGUCUAGGGCUGUUCCUCUGAGGUCACGAGGUGGUCCUUCGGGUGUGUCUGGGGUAAGCCCCUCUAGAAUCUGGGGGCGGCCUCCCGGGGGCCAUACUGCAUCACGUAGUGGAGUUGGGAAGAUAAAACCAGCACGUGUAAUGUAAUACAUGACAAUGGAAGAUUCUACGUAAUUAAGGGUUAACUCUGAAAUCAGAAGACAAGUUUUCCAAGACUUGGGAAGGUGGAGAGAUCAGAGAUCAGUGAGAGAACAAAGAAUCGGGGUCCAGAUGUCAGGGAUGGAAGUUGGAGAAAGAUGAGGCAGCAGCAGACACUUUCUCCUGUUGGCCUUAAAGAAGCAACCGCCUGUGCUGGGAGAGGGUCACUGGGCUGAGAUUGGUAGGUGGCUCUGGGAGCUGAGGGCCUAAACCUAUGACCACAAGGAACUGAAUUCAUCCCAAAGCCAGAGAGGUGGAAGACGACUCAGAAGAUGCAGAUGCCAAUGCCACAUCCUGGUGAGCAGCUGGAUUGCAGCUGGACCCGCUAAACCAAGCCCCAGACUCCUGACCAGUGGGAGCUGCAAGAUAAUGAAUAUAGUUUUCUUGUUGUUUUUUGUUUUCUUUUUAAUAAGCAAUAUGACUUUAUUUAGUUACUUUGGAAACAAAAACCCCCAAAUAAUGCCUGAACCCAAAGGUACAUAAAAAUGGCCCAAAAUAGUUUAAA
RNAcentral lists this long non-coding RNA (1104 nucleotides) under Homo sapiens (human). RNAcentral's name for it is "HSALNT0393077". Lineage: Eukaryota; Metazoa; Chordata; Mammalia; Primates; Hominidae. The record is from RNAcentral.